Molecule: transfer RNA, 71 nt
Filed under: Escherichia phage Ecp_YSF
Lineage: Duplodnaviria; Heunggongvirae; Uroviricota; Caudoviricetes; Chaseviridae
Also listed under: 2 other names
Description: tRNA-Arg
Source: RNAcentral
GCUCCAGAGCUUAGUCAGGUAGAGCAAUCUGUUCGACAGAUGUGUCGUUGGUUCGAAUCCAACCUCGUCCA